Molecule: ribosomal RNA, 468 nt
Filed under: uncultured bacterium
Lineage: Bacteria
Description: partial 16S ribosomal RNA
Rfam family: Bacterial small subunit ribosomal RNA
Source: RNAcentral
GACGAACGCUGGCGGCGUGCUUAACACAUGCAAGUCGAACGGAAAGGCCCUGCUUUUGUGGGGUGCUCGAGUGGCGAACGGGUGAGUAACACGUGAGUAACCUGCCCUUGACUUUGGGAUAACUUCAGGAAACUGGGGCUAAUACCGGAUAGGAGCUCCUGCUGCAUGGUGGGGGUUGGAAAGUUUCGGCGGUUGGGGAUGGACUCGCGGCUUAUCAGCUUGUUGGUGGGGUAGUGGCUUACCAAGGCUCUGACGGGUAGCCGGCCUGAGAGGGUGACCGGCCACAUUGGGACUGAGAUACGGCCCAGACUCCUACGGGAGGCAGCAGUGGGGAAUAGUGCACAAUGGGCGGAAGCCUGAUGCAGCAACGCCGCGUGCGGGAUGACGGCCUUCGGGUUGUAAACCGCUUUCGCCUGUGACGAAGCGUGAGUGACGGUAAUGGGUAAAGAAGCACCGGCUAACUACGUG